Podarcis lilfordi (Lilford's wall lizard) is the source of this 72-nucleotide non-coding RNA. The record is from the annotation of a GenBank genome assembly. NCBI's taxonomy places the organism in Eukaryota, Metazoa, Chordata, Lepidosauria, Squamata, Lacertidae.
UUCUCACUAUCUCAGUUGGUUGAGCAUGAGACUCAAUCUCAAGGUUGUGGGUUUGAGCCACACAUUGGCAAA